GACGAACGCUGGCGGCGGGCUUAACACAUGCCAGUCGAACGGAAAGGCCCUGCUUUUGUGGGGUGCUCGAGUGGCGAACGGGUGAGUAACACGUGAGUAACCUGCCCUUGACUUUGGGAUAACUUCAGGAAACUGGGGCUAAGACCGGAUCGGAGCUCCCGCUGCAUGGUGGGGGGUGGAAAGUUUCGGCGGUUGGGGAUGGACUCGCGGCUUAUCAGCUUGUUGGUGGGGUAGUGGCUUACCAAGGCAUUGACGGGUAGCUGGCCUGGGAGGGUGACCGGGCACAUUGGGACUGAGAUACGGCCCAGACUCCUACGGGGGGCAGCAGUGGGGAAUAUUGCACAAUGGGCGGAAGCCUGAUGCAGCGACGCCGCGUGCGGGAUGCCGGCCUUCGGGUUGUAAACCGCUUUCGCCUGUGACGAAGCGUGAGUGACGGUAAUGGGUAAAGAAGCACCGGCUAACUACGUG
Molecule: ribosomal RNA, 468 nt
Filed under: uncultured bacterium
Lineage: Bacteria
Description: partial 16S ribosomal RNA
Rfam family: Bacterial small subunit ribosomal RNA
Source: RNAcentral